This is a long non-coding RNA of Cebus imitator (Panamanian white-faced capuchin), 833 nucleotides long. RefSeq lists it as uncharacterized. The transcript has 3 exons. Lineage: Eukaryota; Metazoa; Chordata; Mammalia; Primates; Cebidae. The record is from RefSeq and is a predicted model, not a curated record.
CUGGCCCGGGACGCGCCCCUGGGGGCUCCGGCCGUGAGACUCGCGUAGUCUGUUGGGAGGUGGGGGUGGGGGACAAUGCGACGUGCGAAGAGUGGGGAAGAAAUCACGCGAUUGGCUUUGGAGUUCCACUGGGCUCGAAUCUCAGCAGUGCUUUUUAUUAACCGUGGGACCUUGGGCUACUCGGCUCUCCUUUCUGAAUGACUGUUUCCUCUUCUGUAAAAGAGGGAUGGUUAAUUCAACGAAUGUUUACUGAGCGCUUAGACGAGUGGUGCGGGUUCAAGGCUAGAGGCAGUAGAAAAGGAAAGCAAGGCUCCUGGUCUCGGGGAGCUUACCACGGGGGUGUUUGUACAUGUGUGUGUUCAUGUGCUCAGUGGUGAAAGACAAGGCAGAAAAACCGAUCAACAUCGAAAGCAACAAGGUCAUUUCAGCUUGAAAUGGGCCUAUCCAUUCUUUUCUUCUGCUCCCCUUCCUAGGAAUGUACUAAGGACAAUGACUCUGGAAGCUUCUGGGAAGGGAAUGUGGCAGAAGGUACAGGAGAUGCAGCAGGAAAUAAGACCAAUGGAGUCCUUGCCCUUCCGGAACUCAGUGUUCGAGUAGGAUGGGACAGACAAUUCACAACUAGUAACCACAAAAGAUGCUUCCAGUGUGCUGCUCUUGUUAAAAUCAUCAGCGACACUCACUUUGCUAAAUCUGAUGACCAAUCCUCCCUGCUACCUCUGACUUCUGAGUACUUCCCAUCAGCCAGAUGCUGUUGUAGGCCCUGGGGACACAGCUGUGAAUAAGAGAGGUCUUGGGGGCCGGGCGCAGUGGCUCCCGCCUUUAAGCCCAGCAUU